This 5664-nucleotide long non-coding RNA is filed under the name Nicotiana tabacum (common tobacco). RNAcentral describes it as "long non-coding RNA (NTAB_LNC007626)". The record is from RNAcentral. Lineage: Eukaryota; Viridiplantae; Streptophyta; Magnoliopsida; Solanales; Solanaceae.
UCCCAAUACCAGAAUCACCAUACGGAGCUAUUCCCAGACUCAGAAUCCAAAUGGACAUUGAUAACACUGAAAUGCACUUCAACCCUAACUUAUGAGAUUCUUCCAAAAUGCUAACUUCCACAAUAGGCGCCGAAACAUUCCCGGAUCUUUCAAAACCCAGUCCGGACAUACGCCCGAGUCUGAAAUCAUCAUACAAACCUGCUGGAACCUUCAAAUCCCGAUUCUGAGGUUGUUUACUCAAAAAUCCAAUCUUAGUCCAUUCUUUCAACUUAAAGCUUCCGAAAUGAGAAUUCUCUUUCCAAAUCAACUCCGAAUUUUCCGAAAUUCAAUUCCGACAGUGCGUACAAGUCAUAAUACCUGUAGUAAAGUUGUUCAUAGCCUCAAACUGCCGAAGAACGUGCUAAAGCUCUAAACGACCGGUCAGGUCGUUACAAAAAUGGUAUUUAUAUAUCUCUGUUUUUUUCAUAAGAACAUCAAAUCAACAAGGAAAUAUUUCAAAAGAACAUAAAAUCAACGCAUCUAAGUGGUCUUAAAAGGCAUCUUUAAGUUCAACAUAGAACCCCAAAAAAUCAAGAAAAAACUCAUAUGACACAUUCAAAUCGGCCCAUAUCUCGAAGUAGUUCACUUUCUAGAUAGUAAGAAUUGAUUGGAAGAGGAUGAAAAUGAAAUUCAUAGAGGAUGAAUAAAACAAUGAGGAAGACAAAGAAAAAUUGAAAAGUCUGGAAAGAGACAACAACAACAAUAACAAACCUAGUAUAAUCUCACAGGUGGGGUCUGGGGAGGUUAAUAUGUACGCAGACCUUACCCAUACCUAGAAAGGUAGAGAGUCUAUUUCCGAUAGACCCUCGGCUCAAGAAAAGGUGGAAAAAGUCUGGAAAGAGACAUGUCUCAUAUAAGAAAAUACUGUGUUAUCGAGGUCCAAUUAGGAUUCCGAGUCUGGAAAUAGUUCCGUAUGGUAUGACUUGCACGCAAAGUUUGGCAUCAUUCCAAGUAGUUUAAGUAUAUUUCAGUGCAUUGGGAGUGAGUUAGAACUUGAAGUUCAUAUUUUUGAUUCAUUUGGUUUGGGGUGUGAUUCUUAGUUUUAAUUUGUUUUGUGCGUUCUGAGAGUUUGAGUGAAUCUGUUUUAUGAUUUUAAACUUGUUGGCAUAUUCGGGCGGGGCCCCGGGAGCCUCGGAUGUAAUCGGACGAGGCUCAGACCAAGUUUGGACUUGGGAGCAUCAGCUGAAGCUUUCAGCUUCUGGUGCAAUCGCACCUACGUAGGUCCAGCUGCAGGUGCGAGCUCGCAGAAAUGGCCCAGGAAGGGCAGACCAGGAACCGCAGAUGCGCCCCACCCUCCGCAAAAGCGGAGCCAGCCAGCCGGGGCUAGGACUGCACCUACGAUGGAUUUUUUACAGGUGAGGCGUCGCAGAUGCGGCCCUAGGUUCGCAGAAGCUGAAAUCGCUGGAGGCAGACCCUCAUUUAAUACAAGACUUAGGCAUUUUUGGCUCAUUUCUUACACUUCUUGAGGCGAUUUUAGAGCUGGUUAGAAAGGGGUUUUCGUUAGCUAAUUGAGGUAAGUAAUUUCUAUCUAAUGUGAGUUAAAUGCAUAGUUUAGGGGUAGAUUAUAACAUGUAAAUUGAUAGAAUUCAUGGGUUUAAAUGAAAAACCUAGGGUUUUGGUAAAAAUGAGAUUUAACCACGAAAAAGGAUAGGGAAUUUAGUGAAAAUCAUAUAUUUGAGUUCAUGAAGUUAUGGGUAACAAUUUUCUUCGAUCAGGAAUCCGGGCACGUGGGCCCGGAGGUAAAAUUUAGGAAUUCUUCAAUUGGGGUUGGGUAAUCACUUUAAUAAUUAUGAUAUGAACUUUUGAAUAUGUAUUGACUAUUUUAUAUAACAUUUGACUAGUUUCGAGUCGUUUGGCACCGAAUUGAGGGUUUAAAGCACAAUUGUGGACCCGAAAGUAAACUUUGAGACGAGGUAAUUCUCUUUUAUAAUAUUGUGGACGGGUUACUUGACCGUUAAUGAGAAUUGAUGUUUACUUGAAUAUUAGCCUCUUAAUAAUCCUUGAAUUGGUUAUUUAUAAAUUAUUUUCUCUUGUUGUGGAGCGGGCCGAACGCCUCGGUAAUAGAAUAGAUGCAUCUAUGGUUCGUGGCGUUUGACCCUCGACAGUGCACUGUUUAUAUAUUCAUCUGUAGGAUCGGGCCCUACGACCUCAGCGUAGUUGUGCGUAAUAAUUCUUGAAGCCCAACUAUAAUUGAUAUUGUUUCAUUGGCUUGAAAGAUUAAUUUGUUAAAUGAUGGAAGUUAAUUGGGACUUACAAUUAGUGAAAGAAUUAUUUGUGUAUUCUUGUUAUUUCGUCUUCAGUUGUAUUUAUAUACACCAUGCUUAGUUAUAAUUCUAUUAUUUUAUUGUUAGCCCAUAGUAAGUGUCAGAGUCGACCCCUCAUCACUACUUCUUCGAGGUUAGACUGGAUACUUACUGGGUACAUGUUGUUUAUGUACUCACGCUACACUUCUGCACUCAAUGUGUAGGAUCUGAGGCAGGUGUAUCUGGAUAUCAGUCAUGCGAGCAUCCUUAAUUUCUACUAGACUCUGCGGUGAGCUGCCUUUCGAGCCUGUUCUGCAGCUGCCGAAGUCUUUCUUUUGCUUUAUUUUCUAUCUAUUUUAUUUCAGACAGUAGUGUAGUAUUCUUUGUACUUUUUCUAGUAGCUCAUACUUAGUGACACCAGGUCUUGAAGAUUUAUGCUAGUAGACACUUGAUGGUUUUGGGUUAUUUUACUUAUCUCACUUAUUUUCAAAAAAUUUAUCUCUCAUUUUUUUAUUAAAUUCUUACUUCCCAUGUAUGCACAAACUAAAAAUCAACUAUUUUAAAUUUUUAAAAGAAAUGAUCACAGAGUUCAUUCAUUGUUGGCUUUGCCUAGUGGUAAUGUUGGGCACCAUCAGGACAUAUAGGAGAAAUUGAUCGUGACAGAAAUGGUGUUUGACACUUUGGAGAAUGCGAGAUUGGAUGGAAAAUCAAAAGUUCUCUAACAAAAGUUGACCAAAGCAAGACAUAUUCGAAACUCGAAAGAUAUGAUACCACAGGCGCUCUAUUUUCACUAUUACAAGCAAGUGUUACUACCCUUUUGCUCUGAUACUCCUGCAGUCUUACUUAAACUCUUUCAGUGAAAUUUCUAGCUUUGCGUAAAAAAGCGAAACAACAAGAGGAAGGUACUAGUAUCGAAGAGAAAAAAUGUUUGUAGUAUAGAAAAAUGUUAUUGUGAAGAGCAAAAAAACAUUCAUUGAAAAGACUUUGCAUAGAAAAGUUAAGCAGCAUGAGAAAGAUACUAUACCAAAGAGAAAAAAAGCCAUUCAAUGAAAAGUAAAAAAAUAAAAUAUGAAAUGCCUUUGCAUUGCAUUGAAAGGAACAAUACAAUAAAAACCCUUUACCUCGAUUUGGGGAAAAAGGUCCAGACAGAAAUGAAUGCCUAAUAUUGGUAAACGUGAUGAUGGACAUUCUUGUUUCCGGAUGAGCAACCUAUCAGAAGACGACAUUUUUAAAUUUAUUAUUACACAUUUUUCUUUUUCUAUUUGCAACUGUAUAAAAACAAUUGAUGCUUCAAGACAGUGCACACAUGCAUAAUAGGAGUAUCAUAAAGCUAAAACUCUUUUCCAAUUUGUCUUGUUGACAAGCUAUUUUCAAAUGUUUUCUUUCUUAUUUCUUUCUAUUUACUUUUUCUCUUUUCCAGGUUCCGACUCUUUCGAUUUUAAUUAUGCCACUUCUUUGGCCUAAUAUUAAAUACAUGCGUACGCUAUUUUUUGUCAAACAUUGAACUUAUGUGUAUGUCAUCAUCUGUAAUUACUAUAAUUUUAAAACACCGUUAUUGUCACAUCCCAAAAUAUCCUCUAGACGUGACUGACACCCAACUAACACUACCCGCCAGGCGAACUAACUUAUACCAUAUAUUCUACAUUUAUUCAAACUCAACCGAAAUAAAUGUAGGUUCCAACAAUUUGAUAAUUAAAUGCAAAUGAUUAAUACCCCAAAUUGUUCCGUAAAUAUUUAUGAAUAAUAACAACUAAAAACUGAAAAGAACACUCUAGCGAAAAUCCUAUACUAGACCAUAGAGCAUCUAAGAGGAUUACAAAUGACAUCAUAUGAAUAAAUGAUAAAGACUCUUUUGGUAGCCUCCACGAACAAUACGAUGGCUCACCUCAAUAUCUGAGUCAACUCUAGAGAACUCGUCAGCUACUAGCUUUGUCUUUACCAAUAGUAUCUGCAUGGACAUGCAGGUAAGGAGUGAAUUAUACGUAAAUAUAACCCAGUAAAAUUUUCGAUCCGUACUUUUAAUACCUCUGAGACAAGUGUUGGAAAAUACAAAUACAACACAACAAAAACAAUAUACUAAAUACAAUAAUUAUAUAAUAACAUAAUAUAUAGGUAUCAACAGAGUUAAUAACAAUUAACUAACAAGAACACACAUAUCUCAACCCACGACACACUAAGAGCUUGUUAUAACUACAGUGAAAGAAAUUAACCAAUACCUCUAUAAGUCCACAAUGACACCACAAUACCUCAAAAUAUGUAACAGAGCAUACACAAUGCUCACUGAAGCAUACACAAUGCCCCAAAUAUAUCAUGGCUCACAGUCGUAUCAACUCAACCCCAUGCCUCACAACCGUAUCAAACUAUCGAACUCAACAUCAUGGCGCACAACCGUCUCAAACUCAACAACAUGGCUCGCAGCCGUAUCAAACUAUCAAACUCAAUGCCAUGGCGCACAACCGUAUCAAACUCAAUAUCAUGGCGCACAGCCGUAUCAAAUUCAAUAUCAUGGCGCACAGCCGUAUUAAACUAAAUAUCAUGGCACACAGCAGUAUCAAACUCAUCAAACAACUUAUAAUUUUUUUUAUAUAAAAUAAUAUAUUUGCGGCUAGUCUAAGACCACCGAUUUUGUCAAGCGCACACUUGUCCCAACACAUGGACCAGGCAGAAAAAACACACUUUCAAAACAGGUUUUAGAAAAUCAAGCAUCAAAGCUUAAAGUCUCACUUACCUCGCGAGCAACAAGUUUCCCAACCUCAUGAUGCCUAGAACACCAAUCAAACUGCCUCCAAUGACUUCAAUCUAUGCAAAAAUAUUAAUAACAAUGUCAGUUAUGUUCAUCGGAGUCAAAUCUCAAUAUCCCUAACUUUCAAGUUUAGAGUUAAAUCUUAGUAAUCUAUACAACCAUGAAAAUAUAUCCCAGUAUCUCAAUGUAACUCAAUAUUAAAUUUUAAUUUCCGUAAAUUAGUACUCCAGUUCCAUAGUUAAUAACCAUAGAGUAACAUUAAAAAGAAAAAAAAUCCUUAGAAUACGUAAAGUAAAGACUAUGAACAGUAGCUUCAAUAUUAAUGUCCAACUAGGUUCCAUACAUUAUGGACGAAUUCUUGUUUGAUAUCCAAGCUUGCAUCGUUGCCAUUAUUUGAAUAAUCAUUGUGUUCGCCAUCAUUGCCAUAGAUAUAAAUCAUAACUCCAUUACUCUAAUUCAUCUGUGCAAUAUACGUUAAUAUGGGGACUAAAUAAUAUUACCUGUAUGCUUGGAUUUUCCAUGAAAGAUUCCAGAAAAGGUUAGGCCAUUAGAAUCAACUUAAGUCUUUCACUAAUAAAACCUUGCGCCGUCACUGUUGUCUUAGAAAUUCUCCGGCAAUCCUUUUUAUUUUGGUUGUUC